AUGCCGGCCUGUGACGGGGGCACACGUCCGCCAGGCCUAGCGGGCGGCCAAGAACCAGUCAGCACGGGGCCGCUGGUGUCCGGGCGCGGCCGGGCGGCCAUUUUGCAGCCGCCCCCAGCCGCGGGCGAGGCCGCCGUUGCCACGGUUACCGGCGAGCGGCGCCCCCGCCCGCCCCCUCUCGCCUCAGCUCGCCCCGCCCCGCGGCCAAUCGGAGGGGCGGCGGCGGCGGAGCCGGGCCGCCUUUGUUCGGCCAUUUCGGGGCCGCGGCACCUUCGGGCGCCCAGCCGCCGAGAGAGAGGACGCGCCGGGACGGGCCGCUCCCUCGCCACUCCCCGCCCCUGCCGCCGGGCUCUGGGAUGGUGUGGGCUGCUGGCGGCGUGGGACGCACCGGGGGACGGCUGACGGCGGCCCGGGCGGGCGGAGGCGUGCCUGGCGCUAGGACCCGGCAGCAGGAGGAGGAGGAGGAGGAGGAGGCGGCGCGGCGGCUCUCGGGGCCGGGUUACCAGCCCGCCGUGACUCAGUGCGCUCGGCUUUGCGGAGGAGCCAGCAGGUCGGUGCCGUCUGUCUGUCCGUCCGUCCGUCCUUCCCUCCCUUUCACCCGGGGGCGGUUNUGUUGGCUACACUUCAGUUGAUGCAUCCCAGGAUACGGUUGGCUUUCUGGGCUGCAGGCGCACACUGCUGGCUCACGUUGAUCUUCUCAUCAACCAACACCACCAGGUCCUUCUCCUCAGGGCUGUUCCUAAUCCAUUCUCCACCCAGCCUGUAUCUGUGCUUGGGAUUGCCCCAACUCAGAUGCAGGACCUUGCACUUGGCCUUGUUGAACUUUAUGAGGAACUUCAUCCUUAUGUUGUAGCUCAGAUGAUUUUAACCCCAUCUAAGUGUCAGGCAAAAUUUCUAUUUUCACUAUCCUCUGCUUAUGAAGUUAAACACUGACAAGUCUUCCUGAUGGUCUUCAAAGAACAGAAGAAACGUUGAUAUUGUAGUAAAAUAUUGUGCCUUAGAGAGAAAAAAAAAAGGGGGGGGGGGGAAGAGGGGACUAAAAGCAGAAAAGCAAUGUUAUAGAAUAUGGGUUUAAUUGGUGUGGAUUGUGGUGUAUGCAGAAGACUUAAGGAAGCCAGAGGUUUCCCUAGGGACAAAAGACACGUUGAGGUUUUGUUUUUUUUUUAUUCAAGGCAGUUUAACACAUCCUACAGUCACAACCAAAGGUAUUCAGGAAGUGUCUGCUGAGGUCUCUACUAAGGAUAGUUGAAAGUUUUCCAGAAAAACUAAUUUUCAACUGAAAAUUAAGUUUUC
This 1293-nucleotide long non-coding RNA is filed under the name Anser brachyrhynchus (Pink-footed goose). RNAcentral's name for it is "lncRNA (ENSABRG00000000702.1)". The record is from RNAcentral. Lineage: Eukaryota; Metazoa; Chordata; Aves; Anseriformes; Anatidae.